CCUACGGGUGGCAGCAGUGGGGAAUAUUGCACAAUGGGGGAAACCCUGAUGCAGCGACGCCGCGUGAGUGAAGAAGUAAUUCGUUAUGUAAAGCUCUAUCAGCAGGGAAGAAAAUGACGGUACCUGAGUAAGAAGCCCCGGCUAACUACGUGCCAGCAGCCGCGGUAAUACGUAGGGGGCAAGCGUUAUCCGGAUUUACUGGGUGUAAAGGGAGCGCAGGCGGGAGGCCAAGUCAGGUGUGAAAGCUGGGGGCUUAACUUGUAGACUGCAUUGGAAACUGGUCAGCUGGAGUGAAGGAGAGGUAAGCGGAAUUCCGAGUGUAGCGGUGAAAUGCGUAGAUAUUAGGAGGAACACCGGUGGCGAAGGCGGCCUACUGGGCUUUAACUGACGCUGAGGCUCGAAAGUGUGGGGAGCAAACAGGAUUAGAUACCCGUGUAGUC
RNAcentral lists this ribosomal RNA (440 nucleotides) under uncultured bacterium. RNAcentral describes it as "partial 16S ribosomal RNA". It matches the Rfam family "Bacterial small subunit ribosomal RNA", at positions 338 to 795 of the family's 1533-position model. The record is from RNAcentral.